CACUCAUGUUUAGAAGAGCUUUUUACACAAGCUCUGUGAAUAUAUCAAUACUAUUAUUGAUAAAACGCCAACAGAUUCAGUAACACUGUACAAUAGGUGGACUAACAGACAAAUAUUUGCAACAAGACGAGUUGGACGCACAGGAACAGAGGGCAUUGAGAGUCCUGCUCAAACGAGCUUACAUUCUAGAGGGAGUGGGGAAAAGUGACACAAGAGGUAAGGGUAAGAUGUAUUUCAUGUAAG
Pelobates cultripes (western spadefoot toad) is the source of this 243-nucleotide non-coding RNA. The record is from the annotation of a GenBank genome assembly. Lineage: Eukaryota; Metazoa; Chordata; Amphibia; Anura; Pelobatidae.